RNAcentral lists this microRNA precursor (197 nucleotides) under Oryza meridionalis. Its description in RNAcentral is "MIR812 microRNA precursor family". It matches the Rfam family "MIR812 microRNA precursor family". Lineage: Eukaryota; Viridiplantae; Streptophyta; Magnoliopsida; Poales; Poaceae. The record is from Rfam by way of RNAcentral.
AAAGAACGUAGCUUUGUACUACUGUUUAUAUGCAACGUCCGAUUGUUCGUUUUAUUUGAAAAAGAAUUAUCAUUUAUAUUUUAAUUAUUAUUAGAUGAUAAAAUAUAAAUAAUAUUUUAUGUGUAACUAAUUUUUAAAUUUUUAAAAUAAUAUGAACGGUUAAACGUUACACAGAGAAACUCACGGCUGUACUUAUG